AUUGAACGCUGGCGGCAUGCCUUACACAUGCAAGUCGAACGGUAACGGGCCUUCGGGUGCCGACGAGUGGCGAACGGGUGAGUAAUACAUCGGAACGUGCCCGAUCGUGGGGGAUAACGAGGCGAAAGCUUUGCUAAUACCGCAUACGAUCUACGGAUGCAAGCAGGGGACCGCAAGGCCUUGCGCGGACGGAGCGGCCGAUGUCAGAUUAGGUAGUUGGUGGGAUAAAAGCUUACCAAGCCGACGAUCUGUAGCUGGUCUGAGAGGAUGAUCAGCCACACUGGGACUGAGACACGGCCCAGACUCCUACGGGAGGCAGCAGUGGGGAAUUUUGGACAAUGGGCGCAAGCCUGAUCCAGCCAUGCCGCGUGCAGGAUGAAGGCCUUCGGGUUGUAAACUGCUUUUGUACGGAACGAAAAGCCUUCUUUUAAUACAGGAGGGUCAUGACGGUACCGUAAGAAUAAGCACCGGCUAACUACGUG
This 482-nucleotide ribosomal RNA is filed under the name uncultured bacterium. RNAcentral describes it as "partial 16S ribosomal RNA". It matches the Rfam family "Bacterial small subunit ribosomal RNA", at positions 30 to 507 of the family's 1533-position model. The record is from RNAcentral.